GUGCUUUAGGGAUGAAGAGGUCCCUCACAUUAAUCCAUCUGAUUCACUUUGUCAGCUGUCUCUUUAGUUGUCUUGCUGAUCAUUUUAGGGCGGUACAUGC
Molecule: small nucleolar RNA, 100 nt
Organism: Quercus robur (English oak)
Lineage: Eukaryota; Viridiplantae; Streptophyta; Magnoliopsida; Fagales; Fagaceae
Product: small nucleolar RNA snoR99
Exons: 1
Source: RefSeq, a predicted model, not a curated record